Molecule: transfer RNA, 74 nt
Filed under: Candidatus Magasanikiibacteriota bacterium
Lineage: Bacteria; Candidatus Magasanikiibacteriota
Description: tRNA-Gly
Rfam family: tRNA
About the family: Transfer RNA (tRNA) molecules are approximately 80 nucleotides in length. Their secondary structure includes four short double-helical elements and three loops (D, anti-codon, and T loops). Further hydrogen bonds mediate the characteristic L-shaped molecular structure. tRNAs have two regions of fundamental functional importance: the anti-codon, which is responsible for specific mRNA codon recognition, and the 3' end, to which the tRNAs corresponding amino acid is attached (by aminoacyl-tRNA synthetases). tRNAs cope with the degeneracy of the genetic code in two manners: having more than one tRNA (with a specific anti-codon) for a particular amino acid; and 'wobble' base-pairing, i.e. permitting non-standard base-pairing at the 3rd anti-codon position.
Source: RNAcentral
GCGGGUGUAGUAUAAUGGUAAUAUGCGACCUUCCCAAGGUUGAGUCAGGGGUUCGAUUCCCCUUACCCGCUCCA